This is a non-coding RNA of Triticum urartu, 5913 nucleotides long. The record is from RefSeq and is a predicted model, not a curated record. Lineage: Eukaryota; Viridiplantae; Streptophyta; Magnoliopsida; Poales; Poaceae.
CCCAGCCCAGUAGCCCACGCAAUCGUCCGUCUCGUCCGUCUCCAACACAAUCCGCCGCCGCCGUCUCCCCUCAUCCCCGUCUCUCACAUCCCGUCGCUUCCGCCGUCGGCCGUCCCGAAUUCUUCGUCCGCCGUCCCUCCCCGCACUCAGGCACGCGUACACCUAUCUUCCUCGCUCGCCUGGUUCCGUGGUUCGUGUACGAUUCACAGCGGAGUAGGGGGUCAGGUUCGGCUUCCAUCCAAACCGGCCAUAUUGACCACGCGAAACCCUAGACGCCACGGAGAUGGAGAAUCUCCGCGGCCUCGCCCAGUUCUUGCUCGCCUCAGCUCGCGGGGAUGGAGCAGGACGGCGCCGCCCGUCCCCUCGCACCAGGCAGGACGACGGCGCCGUGGAUGGCUGGGCGCGGAACGACAGCGAGCCCCCUCCUGUACGGCGCUCAGGCGGAGUGCCCCGAGGUCGUAGAUCCUCCUCCUUGCCGGCGCUUCCGCGGCCACGUCUCCGCUGCUGCCUCCGCUUGCGCGACCCUCAACGACGACUCGGUGGGGAGGAGCCCUGCGACGACCUCGACAACGCCUGCUCCCCCGACCACAACUACUGCGUCCAAGAAAGCCACAUGGAUUGGGGAUAUGUACCUCGGUUUGGGUUUAAAGGGGCAAUCUUUGAGCAUUUGUAUAUCAACUAUCGAGGAUCUCAAGUUGACAUGGACCGCACUAUGAUCAAGUGCAUUCUGGUGCUAUGAUGAUUGUGAUAGAAGAUGUUAGCUGCAGAAGCAAUCACUAUGUCUCAGCUCCAAUAUUAAAAAUCAGUGCACCUGAAAUACGACACAAUUUUUGUCAUCUGGAACUGCGCUUAUAAGGUGUUUGGUCUGAAAGCUACGCUCCUGAAUACAAUAUGAUAUAAAAGGUUCAUGAAAUCAUCAGGUAUGGAAAUGCUUGACCGUUUUUGUAAAUCACUUAGUACAAUAUUAUCAGUUUGUUUUUUGCAUUAUUUCCCAGUUCUCUUGCAGUCUAUUCAACAACCUAUCUUCCUGCCUACUAGAUAAAAGAGGGGUUUUGUUUACUUAACAUGGUUGCCUGAUUAACAUAGUCAUGGUUUCUGUUAGUUAUUUUUUCCACUACCAAAGCAACAACUUAUGUUCCUACCUACCAGAUAUACUACUCCUUGAUUGCUUAGCUCCCGGCUUAAGAAGCUCCACCAUUCUUUUAUAUAAUAUUAGAAAAAAAAUUGAGUUCUAACUUUGUUGAAAGACACGCACAGUUCUGAUGUUCUGGGCCCAAUGUUCAUUUCUAGAGGCAAAUACUCUCGGAUUUCUUAGUGAACUGUAAUCCCAUCGAGAUAACCCCCCUCGAUAUAGCUCCCUUUAUUUGCACGACACAAUCUAGCAUAUGACGGCUCUGAUUUGGAUUGUGCGUGUUUCUCCAAAAACUAGGAUUAUAUACCUGAGAACAAACAAAUAACGUUAUAAACUUACCUCAAAGCCUAUGGGUUGACUGAAGCUUGAUAAAUAGUUUCAGAUGCACUAUGGUCUCAUAACAGUAGAAAUAAACUUCGAGGGAAAGAGAACCAUAAGUAUAGGUGACUGCAUAGUAGAAGACGUGUAAUCGUGUUGCAUUAUACUGUCUUUAUAGAAGCCGACAAAAUCAGAGACAUCCUAAAUUUGGUUUUCUGUUCUUGUCAGUUAAGAAAAGAAACAUUAACUCUUGGAUUAUCAGUAAGGGAAUAUGCCUUAUUAGCAUACUCUUAUGGUGGUUAUUAUUGCUCAACGUUGUGAGGAAAAAGAAGAAUCAGAUUUUUCUAUUUGUGGUUAUAUCUUUUGGAUAAACAAUAGAAGGGUAAACUGCGAAGAAGAAACAUAACGACCACUAGUAGAUAUAUCUUUAUUUUGAAUUAAACUAAAGUUGCCAUGAUAGCAAUAUUUUAGAAUAUUCAGAUUUUUUUCAAUAUUUAUGGUGAUUAUAUCUUUUGCACAUUAACACUGAAACUGAACUAUUUUUGUCGGGCUAGAGAAGCGUAAUUUCAAUACAAACUGCAAUUGCUUGGGCAAGAGAAAUCAACUCAAUACUACAAUUUUCCAUAUGAUGUAGUAAGAGGGGGCGUACCAUUGUAAACCGAUGUAGGGUGAAGGCUAGCCGCAUCUUUGGCGUGUGGUCAAACCCGACAAGCUGCAACUAUGUGGAGCAUCCACAUUACUGCCACCACAUGCUUGCUAAAACAGUUAAUAUGUUCGUCCCCGUACAUCAGACACAUCUUCGGCGAGCAUGCUUGAUGGCAAAAUCGGGCAACUAUUGUUGUAUUGAGUAUCCAGAGAUGAUAACCGUCAUGAAAAUAAUUGCAUGGAUCGAUGAUAUCCCACACGGUCUUGUUUGCAUCAAAAGCGUUGGAUAAGAAUACACCAACCAUUUUGGUAAUGGGCAUCUCAACAGUUCUAUUUGGGCGUGAGCGGGUAUUGCCCCUCGCCAGGUCGUAUGUGAACCUAGCCGACAUGGAAGGCUCCAGCGACGAAAGGGCGGGUGGCUCCUUGUCGGGAAAGGUGAACCUGGAAUGAGUCAGCGAUUCGGGUGGUCGAGGGGGGGGGGGACCGGCCUGGAUUGGGCUGACUAGCAGCGGCGGGGGUGGCAGCUGCACUCACGGCCUUGGCGGUGGUCAAGGCGGGGCUAAGAGUAGUGAUGGACUCGUUAGCGGCAGCCAGGUCAUCAUGGCGACGUGCGAAGUUCCUUCUGACUAGCGGCGGCGUGGGUGGCAGCUGCACUCAAGGCCUUGGCGGUGGUCAAGGCGGGGCUACGAGUAGUGAUGGACUCAUUAGCGGCGGCCAGGUCAUCAUGGCGGCGCGUGAAGUUCCUUGUGAAGCACAUCCUCUAGCCCAAGUGGUACAUUUGCUCAUUUGUGAUAUGUUCUGUUAGUGUUAUGUUCUCCUUGUCUCUUGCUCUGUUUCUCUUGCCCACAUGUACAUUUGUUCAUUUUCGUAGACCUGCUAUGUUCUAUUGUAAUUCGAGUUCAAAUGUCAAGUUGCGCCGCAACAAAAUGCUGCUACUUUAACUUCUGUAAGCGCAGAGGCGGCCGUUGCAGCUGCUCACAUGGAACGUAUGCCCUGUUGCAGCCUCGCAGGUACCCACAUCUCUCCCUCCCUCCCUCCUCUUGAUUUGAUCCCCAUAAAUUCUCAGCUUUAUUUCUGUGGAUUUUUGUUUUAUCUAUGCCUGUUAUGUCUUUGACAAAAUCCAAGCAGAUUGAGGGGAAGAUUUUGUGCUUAGUUUUUUACUCAAGUAUUUCAUCUUUCUCUCAAAUUUAGCUCCAAUGAACUGAAUUAUUUUGGCAUCACUUUUUUCCCUGGAGAGCAUUAUCAUCUCAUCUCACCACACUCAUGCCACAUAACCUGGCGAGCUCACUCCUUACUCAUUCUAUGUACCACAUUUGUAGAUCAGUUUAAGGUACUGCUAAUGAACCAAAAGUUAAUGUUGUUGGCCUUGCCAAAAUGCCAUGAAGCUUAACAUUCGACACUUCCUUCCAAGGAGAAGGGAAGUGAUGUCUGACAGGGAAAGAAACUAGGCAAAGCUCUGGAUGCUCGAUUGAGUACACACCCAAUUAGCACUCUACUUCGUCGGUUGUCCACUGAAAUUUGCUCCAUGACAUCUUGCUUGCCAUGUGGUCACCUUACCUCAAAAUUGACAUAUUAUAAUCUAUGAACUACUACAAGUAAACUAUACAACCAAAUGAUUGUUCCAAAAAUUCAAAUUUGCACCAUGCUUUCCACCUGAUCUGCCAGUUUAACUAUCUUAAUUGUACCGCAGACAUUUGAUGUGUGGUAGUAAGUGUGUGAUGAAGCAUGGUGUAGUAGCAAACUAGCAACUGAAUUUUUUGACAUACCAUGGAUUUCUUUCUGCCUCUAUUUGAUGCUCGGGGGUGCUGAUCCGAAGGUCCGUGCGGACCCUGCUCUGGACAUACGUCUCCUUAAUUUCCGUGUGCAAUUCUGCAAUCCAUGCUUUACACUUUAAAAUGAGACAAUAAAAUUUAGCUCAUGUUGCCCUUCCAUCAUGCACCCAGAAUAUAUUACCUUUCUGCUUUUUAUAUUUUGGUUGGGCAUGUUUCAUGAUCAGAGGAUCGAUGAUUUGUUAUGCUAGACAAUGGAAAUAAGAUUUGGUGGAAAACAAAUGAUAUGAUAGGUGAUUUAUGAUGUAUUACUAUUUUAGAUAACAUUAUCCAAAAUUAGUUUUUGGUAUACGCAAACUUUGGAAUUUGUUGAUAAAGAAAGAUCACGCCUAAUUUGCUGGCUCUCUGUUGACACUUAACAGUACUGGCCUCCUGACUCUAGUUGGAUAAUGUUGAUGACUCGAUAUGCGGAGAGAGGUUAGGAAUUGUUGCUAUGGACUAAAACAAUGCAGAGUUGAAGGUUCUGAACUGGGAACUUGAACAAACAGUUUGCCUACCUUUCUUGUGGAGUUGAUUUUUUAAAAGUGAAUGUUCUUCUGGUUGGUGCUUCUUCAGUGGGAUCUGGACCAUGGAAUCUUCAAUUGCAUCUGCUUGGUUCACUGGGAAUUUCCUAGUUUUAAUUUGAUUGACAACUAGCAAAACAGUCCGGCUAAUUUGAUGAUUAAUUCCUGCUGAUUGUACACUUUCAACUCAAGUUCCUGCUGAUUCUACACUUUUCAACCCAAGUUACAUUGUACCAUAUGCCAGUUUGUUUCAUACCUCAUCCAUCCUGGAUUUUUAGACGCAAAGCAUCUGGAUUUUAAAACAAGAAAUAACAUGUCUUUAACAAAAUUAUUCACUCAAAGACCAUGCCCAAGAUUGGAUCUCUCAUCUUUACAGUAAAUUUGGACAGCAGGGAUCUCUCAUCUUUACAGUAAAUUUGGAUAGCAGGGAUGUUCAGUAGAAAAGCUAUAAUAGCAUGGAAGCGUUGUUUCUGAACUCGAGCACAUAUGUGCUCUUUAUCUGGGCAGUUCGUCAUAGCAUUGGGAUGCGGUGCAUUACUUUCUGUGUCAGGCUGUUGUUCACUGGAAAAGGGGGAAAUGCAGAAGGAGCACCUCCUUUAACGAUUCAAAACAGGGCCGUGGCUCAUGCCGUCAUUCCCGUCCUGAUCCGUGGCUCGUUUAGGGCCUCAGUAGCUGAGUAAAUGGAGGGAUGGGUUGCUGGGCAGAGUUCUCUCCUACCUCCGGCUCCUGGUUUUUCCUAUUAUCGAGUGAGGCUAGAUGGGCGGCGGAGCUUCUAUUCGAAGGAAACAAAGGCUAGCGCAGAAGAUGGAAUUUCUGAUGCAAUCGAUUAAAAGAACCACCGUGCUGGAGGACGUUAACGAUGGCAACGUACUCAUGGAGCCACUACACUGCCAGUGGUCGCAACCGUUGCAGAUCCGCUGCCGCCCAUGGCGGCAAUGAGUGCGGAAGGCCAGAUCUGUGCGGCUGAUGGCGUGGUCGAUACUGAAAUCGAUGGUUUACUGCAAGCAUCCGAGCAGUCGAUUACUCGAUUUGUUAGAUCGACCCAAAAGCCCCAGCAUGGACUCGAAGUGAGGAUCGGUGCUGCCGCACCAGGAAGGUCACCUUGUCGUAAUCGCACUAGUGCACUGGAGAAGGCAAUUCAUGGUUUUGCGGAAAAUCCAGGAGAUGAUGUGAUUGUCCCUGCACUAGGAACAAGCUUUGAUUGUUUGAGUGAAGCCUUCGACUAUUGCCAUUGGACUUCGAUUCUUUUGGAUGAAGCAUACGACUUUUACAAGCUUCGAUUCUUUGACUAAUCUAUAUUUUAGUAAUCCUCCUUAUUUUCUGAAACUGAUGUAUAGCGGUAUGAUGUACAUUUAAAUGGAUUUCUAAAGUGACAGUAAAUUAGACAACUAUUUUACGAUGUGUAGCCAAAAGCCAAAAGGAUAAUUGCACUAUUAUCAGAAUCAGAUAUGAUUUCAAGUCUGGAGAAAAUCUGCCUUUUCUUCUU